Small nucleolar RNA from Etheostoma spectabile (orangethroat darter), 210 nucleotides. RefSeq annotates it as small nucleolar RNA U3. The record is from RefSeq and is a predicted model, not a curated record. NCBI's taxonomy places the organism in Eukaryota, Metazoa, Chordata, Actinopteri, Perciformes, Percidae. The transcript has a single exon.
CAGACUAUACUUUCAGGGAUCAUUUCUAGAGUUUUGAUUGAGGAAUGUGUUUGCUAAAGUGUUUGGCUCUCGCUCACGAUGAUGAGUACGUGAUUUCCUUUCUGAGCGUGAGCUGACAGAGGUAAUGAUUCACUUCAUAUGCCUCUGUCAUUGAUGAUUGUUCUUUGCUUCUUUAUGGAGUAUUGACAGAAGGGAAUAUGUCAGAGUGGU